UAUGCACUUCCUGUUUCCACUGCCUUUUCACUCUCCCCUGGGGUUGCCUGAUGUUUCCCAGAGCAAUACACAUUGAAGAGAGCCUUUUCUCUUUCAAAAUCUUUUUUAUUUUUCUGUUUAAGAGAGAACCCCAAUAUCACUGGAAUAUGAACACUUCUGCUUUUUGUAAUAAAUAUUAUUUAAAAUGACUGGGGAAACCUUGGAUUUGGCUUGUGGACUAGCUUGAAGUGAGUCUGUCCACUCUAGGCAGCGUAAUUUUUGUCAGCAGCAAUGUUAAUACAGUUUGAGGAGGUUAAAGGAAGCAUUUAAUCUUUUUUUCUUGUUUAUUUUAAAGCAUUUUGUUAUGGUUUCUGCUGCUUCUGGGCUUAUAAAUCAUCUUUUGUCCUCUUCUUGUUCCUGUGGUGAGAUCUCCUCCCAGUCCAUGUCUUCUUGCUGCAGCUGGAGUGUUUAUGGCCUUCGACCCAAUGUCUCUUCAGAGAUCUCUCUUAAAUGAAAUUUUCUGCCCUGCUGCUUUCCUUUUCCUCUUAUUAUUGACCUUUUUUUUUCUUUUCUUUUCUUUUUUGUUUUUUUCUUUUUUUCCCCUUUCCUAAGACUCACACUGUCUCUGAAGUCCUAGGCAGCCCAGCCUCUUUGGCAGUCUGUCCCAAAUCUCAGGAUAGGGAACUGUGUCCCUAAAUGCUUUCUGUAUUCCCCAGUUUUCUCCCUUUCAUGAAGGUGGGAUCCAGCUACAUCCAACUCCAGGUUUUUAAUCUCUUUAACUGAUGGAGGCCAGAAACAAACACAAGACUAUUUAGCUUCAAGAAGAAAAGCUGUAAUGAGAAAUAACUGUGCAGUCCAAUGUCAUGCAGCUGUACCAGCAAUGGAAGAAAUAUGGCGACAAUUAUGUGGGAUGUUCUUUGGAGUUAAACUUUCUAUUUGGCAGAGGUGGAGACAGAUCACAGAGACAGCACCCAUGGGCAUGCAACUUUCCCAUCUCCUGUCCUCCUGCAGCAUGAUGUUGUGCCCAAAAGCACUGGAAAAGGUCUCCACCAGCCACAACAAUAUCCACACCAGAGGAGGAAUUCAGUAA
This 1069-nucleotide long non-coding RNA is filed under the name Anser cygnoides (Swan goose). RNAcentral describes it as "lncRNA (ENSACDG00005012955.1)". Lineage: Eukaryota; Metazoa; Chordata; Aves; Anseriformes; Anatidae. The record is from RNAcentral.